RNAcentral lists this unclassified non-coding RNA (285 nucleotides) under uncultured fungus. Its description in RNAcentral is "sequence contains ITS1". Lineage: Eukaryota; Fungi. The record is from RNAcentral.
GUAUAUUUCAAUUUCAAAUUUAUCCAACAUUCUAAACAUGUUUCAAAGAGAGGUUGUGAAAAAGACAUAGACCUGGAGGAUGCAAGGCAAAGCCGGCUUUUCAUGCACAGCAGUCCCGACUCGAAUUUUUCAGAAAAUCCACAAAGCUUCCAGAGCCUACAAGAGGUGCACAAGUUGGAGAAAUAACAAAGAUGAGACAAGUGUGCACAAUGCCCCCCAAGGGACCAGCAGCAACCUGUUCAAGUUUAUUCAAUAAUGAUCCUUCCGCAGGUUCACCUACGGAAA